RNAcentral lists this long non-coding RNA (1600 nucleotides) under Anser brachyrhynchus (Pink-footed goose). RNAcentral's name for it is "lncRNA (ENSABRG00000013396.1)". Lineage: Eukaryota; Metazoa; Chordata; Aves; Anseriformes; Anatidae. The record is from RNAcentral.
AUGGGGAUAAAAGAACCUGCUGUUUUGAAGUGUCAGAUUUUAUGCUGUGUUGCAGUGAGUUAUUUUUAUUUAUCUUCCUUUCUAUGUUUUUCUGAGGCAUAUACAAAAGUAAUCUUCAAAGAGCUAUUUGUACUAUUUGGAUUUUUUUUUUCACGCUUAAGCCUUGGCUUGAAGAACCAUAUGGAAAACACAUAUAUAGCCUACAUCCUGGACAUCAUACACAGACUACACACCUCUGAUAGAUUUUUAAUCAUUUUUUUCACCUUCCAGAACACAAAAGAAGUCUAUCAUUCCAAAUCACCAGAUUUUAAAAGGCAAAUUGUGAGACUACGGAUAGAAGAUGGGAGCCAUUUCUACAAGAUUGUGUUUUGAGUUGAUAAGGAGUGCUUGCUGUUUGUUGAUUAUAAUAAUCAUACUGGACAUUGAGUGAAUCUGAUUUAUGAUUUUGGUAAUCUAUAAUUGUUUUGUAUCAUAGGUAUGUAUGUGGACAUUCAGUCCAUGAUACCCUUCUGAAGGAACACAAGAGAAGAUGUGCAGAUUACAAAAGAAGUUUUAACAGAAAAUUUGACUCUGUGGGUUAGGAUGGGCUUUUUUUCAAAUUGCUUCUUUCAACAAAGUGACUAAAUUACAUUUGAAUUUUCACUCUGGGGGAUAGCAUAUAGUUUCAGAUGUUUCCUGAAGUUCUUAACUUCAGUGAAGAUCAGAUCCUUUAAAGCCUUUUAAAAUGUGGUUACUAUUGUUUAAAAACUUCCACAUCUAAAACAUGGCCCAAUGUCCUAAAUAGAAUGCUACUCCAUUUUUUUGAGAGAGAAACAGAUGUAAAAAUCAUCUGAAUUUUGUUAGUCUUCUGAAUGGGUAAUCAGGAGGCAGCUCAUAGUAAGGGUGGAAUUGGCUGUGAUCUGUUGAGCAUGGUAGGGGAGAAAGAUAGUGGGCAAUUCCUUUUUUCUUAGGAAUGCAUGUAAAAUUUGAAUCAUUGCUAUCCUUAGUUUCUCUAAACAGAACAGUUACCUUCUAUUAUAGUCCUUACCAGCUUUUCUUCUAAAGCAAGGGAUCUUUACUCUCAAAUAUAAAAGUAUGCUGUAAAAUCACAAGAGCUCCUUUAUGGAAUACAAAAAUGAUAUUUUUUGUCAUUUUUAGUAAAACUAAUAGAAGUUAUUGGAAUUAUGUCAAUCUGUGUUCUGGAAAAAUACAGUAUUUUUUGCUUUUUAUUUUUUGAUGAAAUAUAAUUCUUUUCAGUAAUAAUUUAAUUAGGAUCAGGCAUGCAUCCUCCUUGCAUUGGGUUUUGUUACUCAUGUUGUAACAAUUCCAGAGAGAAAUUAAGUGCACAUACUUCCUGGACAACUAAGGAUCACAGAGAAAGAUUUAAUCCAUCCUCAAAAGCAGAUCCACUUCUGCCCUGGAAUUACUUUGUCUCAGCCAAAGUAAGUCACUUGGAAUGCAACUGGUGCAGUAGGAGACUGAGGUUCCUAAAAUUCCAUUUUGAAUUCUUUAAAACGCGUAAUCUCAGUCUAAAGAUGAUCUGACUCCACUCUAAACAAUUAGGAGUAUAUUGCAAGCAGAAUAAGUUUGGAGUCAUGUAAUAAAUUUUACGUGAAUUUCA